RNAcentral lists this long non-coding RNA (786 nucleotides) under Vigna radiata. RNAcentral's name for it is "long non-coding RNA (VRAD_LNC004263)". The record is from RNAcentral. Lineage: Eukaryota; Viridiplantae; Streptophyta; Magnoliopsida; Fabales; Fabaceae.
UUUAAUUAAAGGUAUUGCCUUAGGGCAAGCGUUGUGGGGGUGCUAACACUUUCCCCACACGUAAACGACUUCCGAAACCAGAAUUUGGUUUUAUAGACCUUGCCUUAUCAUUUUAUGGUUUUUCUGUAGUUUUCCAGAAUAAACUAUGGUGGCGACUCCAAAACUUUUUUCAAAAUCGUUUCUUUUUUGAAUCGUCGUCCCGUCGCGACAUCGGUUGCGACAAUAAUAAUAACUAAACUAGAAUUUUCAUACUUCAUAAAAUUUCAGAGCUCAAUUGCAUAAAUCAAAAUUUAUUCAUCAAGCAUGCUUUACCACAAUAUUAGAAAAUUCAAAAAGUUAAUAUAAGUACUAAACUAGUCUAAUAUUAAUUCUAAGCUUAAGAUUUCACAACUAUCAAUUUCAGUCAACAAUUAGCACAAAACAAGCAUACCACCAAAGUUAAAAAAUUUUAGUUUCCCUAACUUAUAAUAACACAUUAAACUUUUAAUAUACUGACAUGCCUCUAACUUCACAAUAUGUUCUAUUUACACAAAAAAAAUAUCACAAGAGUUAUCGAAUCACACAAUUAUGAUCAAUGAUUACCAGAAACUCAUAUUAAUAACUUAGGUGACACAUGCAAGCAAGAAGUUCUCACAUGUAAGAGAGAAACAAAAUUGACCAAAGGAAAAAUAGUCAAUAUUUACUUACUUAGACAAAAAAAAAACUGACCAAACAUAAAAGAGAAGUUCGUCAAGAGGAUGAGUCCAACUAUCUCCAUUCUUUAAAGACAUAAAAAAGAUAAAAAAG